Molecule: ribosomal RNA, 430 nt
Filed under: uncultured bacterium
Lineage: Bacteria
Description: partial 16S ribosomal RNA
Rfam family: Bacterial small subunit ribosomal RNA
Source: RNAcentral
GUGGGGAAUAUUGCACAAUGGGCGAAAGCCUGAUGCAGCAACGCCGCGUGAGGGACGACGGCCUUCGGGUUGUAAACCUCUUUUAGUAGGGAAGAAGCGAAAGUGACGGUACCUGCAGAAAAAGCACCGGCUAACUACGUGCCAGCAGCCGCGGUAAUACGUAGGGUGCAAGCGUUAUCCGGAAUUAAUGGGCGUAAAGAGCUCGUAGGCGGUCUGUCGCGUCUGCUGUGAAAACUGGAGGCUCAACCUCCAGCCUGCAGUGGGUACGGGCAGACUAGAGUGCGGUAGGGGAGAUUGGAAUUCCUGGUGUAGCGGUGGAAUGCGCAGAUAUCAGGAGGAACACCGAUGGCGAAGGCAGAUCUCUGGGCCGUAACUGACGCUGAGGAGCGAAAGCGUGGGGAGCGAACAGGAUUAGAUACCCUGGUAGUCC